GGGGAUCUUCGGAGCCCUAUAACCUCGGGUCGCCGCCUGCGACCCCUCAAGCUGACGGAAGACAGAGA
Regulatory RNA element from Rhodobacter sp. CACIA14H1, 68 nucleotides. It matches the Rfam family "L2-Alphaproteobacteria ribosomal protein leader". Lineage: Bacteria; Pseudomonadati; Pseudomonadota; Alphaproteobacteria; Rhodobacterales. The record is from Rfam.